AGUGAACGCUGGCGGUAGGCCUAACACAUGCAAGUCGAACGGCAGCACAGUAAGAGCUUGCUCUUGCGGGUGGCGAGUGGCGGACGGGUGAGGAAUACAUCGGAAUCUACUUUUUCGUGGGGGAUAACGUAGGGAAACUUACGCUAAUACCGCAUACGACCUACGGGUGAAAGCAGUGGAUCUUCGGACCUUGCGCGAUUGAAUGAGACGAUGUCGGAUUAGCUAGUUGGCGGGGUAAAGGCCCACCAAGGCGACGAUCCGUAGCUGGUCUGAGAGGAUGAUCGGCCACACUGGAACUGAGACACGGUCCAGACUCCUACGGGAGGCAGCAGUGGGGAAUAUUGGACAAUGGGCGCAAGCCUGAUCCAGCCAUGCCGCGUGGGUGAAGAAGGCCUUCGGGUUGUAAAGCCCUUUUGUUGGGAAAGAAAAGCAGCAGGUUAAUACCCCGCUGUUCUGACGGUACCCAAAGAAUAAGCACCGGCUAACUUCGUG
RNAcentral lists this ribosomal RNA (492 nucleotides) under uncultured bacterium. Its description in RNAcentral is "partial 16S ribosomal RNA". It matches the Rfam family "Bacterial small subunit ribosomal RNA", at positions 29 to 507 of the family's 1533-position model. The record is from RNAcentral.